GAUGAAGAACGCAGCGAAAUGCGAUAAGUAAUGUGAAUUGCAGAAUUCAGUGAAUCAUCGAAUCUUUGAACGCACAUUGCGCCCGCCAGUAUUCUGGCGGGCAUGCCUGUUCGAGCGUCAUUUCAACCAUCAAGCCCCAGGCCUGUGUUGGGGACCUGCGGCUGCCGCAGGCCCUGAAAACCAGUGGCGGGCUCGCUGUCACACCGGGCGUAGUAGAUUUUAUCUCGCUCAGGGCGUGCUGCGGGUUCCGGCCGUUAAAAAGCCUUUUUUACCCAAGGUUGACCUCGGAUCAGGUAGGAAGACCCGCUGAACUUAAGCAUAUCAAUAAGCGGAGGA
Molecule: unclassified non-coding RNA, 336 nt
Filed under: soil metagenome
Description: partial contains 5.8S ribosomal RNA, internal transcribed spacer 2, and large subunit ribosomal RNA
Rfam family: 5.8S ribosomal RNA (bases 1-120)
Source: RNAcentral